UAUCCUAGAGUACUUUAAAUGUAUGUAAAUAAUUGUAUCUUAAUUUGAAGAUAUUUUGUGUAUGAUUUUAUCAUUUGGAACGGGAGAAAAACAUAACAUGCAAUCAUGCAUCAUAUAUGUUUCAAAUUUCAACCCUAAAUUUAAAUAUAAAAACAUCAAAAAUCAUGAAAAAAGCAAUAAAAAAACAUCAAUUUUCACUUAAUUUAAGAUCCAACAGAGACAACAUUUAAAAAAAAAA
Molecule: long non-coding RNA, 238 nt
Filed under: Phoenix dactylifera (date palm)
Lineage: Eukaryota; Viridiplantae; Streptophyta; Magnoliopsida; Arecales; Arecaceae
Description: long non-coding RNA (PDAC_LNC013737)
Source: RNAcentral